Molecule: non-coding RNA, 2240 nt
Organism: Cajanus cajan (pigeon pea)
Lineage: Eukaryota; Viridiplantae; Streptophyta; Magnoliopsida; Fabales; Fabaceae
Source: RefSeq, a predicted model, not a curated record
CUCUUUCACCCGAACAUACUCUUAUAGGUCUGACAAAGUUAACAAUGUUUCAUAUAUAUCACAAAUAACACUGUCUUCAGGCUUCAGCUUCUUCAGUUAUAGUAGAACUAUUAACUAAAUUUCAAUUUGGCUAGGCUUGGUGGAUUUUGAUUUGAAUUUUAUCAAGUAUGUGAGUGCAGAAUUCUUCUAAUGCUACUUUCAUAGAAUGAACUAUUCAUUAUAUGUAUUUCAACCCUAUUGAAAGUGGAGUUUUCUCAAGAAUGAAUGACAAUUUAUGACUAGAGAUUCUAGAGUUUCUACCUUUUUAAAAAAUGACCAUUUUUUCUUUGUGUAGCUGAAUAAGAACACGUGAACAACUGUUAUUGCUAUAUUGCAAUCUAAUAUGUUAGUAGACCAUUUAACAUAAUCGGAUAUCAAAUUUAAGAGAAAAUGCUCUGGUUUUUGGAACAAAAAAUUACUCUUUAGACUACAGAACAUGGGUGAAGAAUCUUAUCCUACUAUAGCAAAUUAAAAUGCAUACUCCAAACCUUCAAACUCUAAAAUUGCUGAAGUGCACUCAUAUCCAGAAUACAGAUUGAUAGUUUGCUGUUUGACUAGUACAUUAGUUGAUACUUGAGAGGUGAUAUAUUGUUUCUGACUUCUGGAUUUGCUGAAAUAUGUCUAUUCUUCAUUCUCCCUAUAUGUUCUAGUUGAUUCUUAUUGGUCACAUGUAAAUUCUUUUUUGCUGUAUUUUAAUUGAAUGUAUUUCUGGAAAGCCUAAUAGAGGGAACUGGGCAUUGAGCAGUAGAAGCUAGAAUCUUUCAAAAUAAAUUAUAAGCAAGCAAUUAUUUUGCAAUUAUGAAUUUAAUGCUCGGAAUCAUAAGACCCGUUUUAAUGGAGUGGGAGAUGGUGAUUUGUUUGUGUGUAACAAGGGAAUUAUUGAGUUGACAGUGAGAGAUUAAUUCCUUUUGAGACAGAGAUCACUGAAGUGGAUUUUGCCUCUUCCACUAAAGGUUUUCUUAGACACAGUGAGAAACGAUGAUUAGGCACAGUUUUGGGCUGGAAGAAAGUUGGGUAGCUUUUGUUCUGUUGUUGUGAGUGCAUGACUGGUAAAAUUGUUUUUACUUUUAUUUAGAAUGAGAAUUUUGGUAAUUUAUCUUUAGAUUAUAUAUCUAUCUAUUAUUGUGAGCCAUUGCAGAAUAGUUCCUCAUUUUGUUUUCUGUAGAAAAGUUAAAUAUAUAAUGGUUAUAAUAGGUGGUUUUACUGGAUCCUGGCCUUGGUGCAAGAAGUUUAGGAUUGUCUCUAGAAAUUUUCUAAGAUUUGUUUAGAAUAAGGCACGUGAAUUUCUAAGAAAAAAUUGCAAAUUGAAUGCUAAGUACCAAGUUACCAAAUAAGAAAAAUAUAUAUAUUUAACAAUAUCAAACUAUUUUAAAGCCCAUAAAUUUAUAAUUUUCAAGAAGGAAUGCACAUUACAUAUAAAACAUGAGUUUGAAUGAAAAACUUUUAAAAAUGUACUGUCUGUGUUUCUUAGUGAUGAUUUUGAUGCAGCUUUUGAGCACUCGCUCAAGUAUGAUGUUGGAAAAAUUUUUCUUUUUUGGGCAGUUUAAGUAUAUUCACUCUACAUGUUUCUUGUGCAUUUCUUGGAUGUAUAUUAUAUGUACAGGAAAACUGGUACCUAGAGUGGCACUUCGACGUAUUGAUAGUGUGGACUUUGGCAAAGACCGGAGAAAUUUCUAAAGCAGAUCUUCUAAAGGGCUUAAAAAACAGGGUUCUGAGGAUGACUAAAAAGAAACAACAACGCAUGCAGAGAGGAAUGAUGUACUAUGAAGUGCCUUGUGAUAGUUUGGAUGUUUAAUUAUCUGUUAGAGUGAUUUUGGAGUCAAUUUGAACAUAGAAAUGUCUACACAUCAACAUAACAAUGAAAGUGAUGACGAAGAUGAUGAAGACAAUGGUGAUGAAUAUAGUGAUCAUAUUGAAGGGCAUGGUUGAUUAUAGGUACAAGUUAUGGUCGAUUGUAGAUACAAGUUGACUCUAGUUCAUGGUGCCUGGUGGAAACUUUAAGACAAGUGGUGCUUCCAUUCUCGUUCAUUCUCUCCUCUACUUUGGUCUCAUUUGUUUGUUCUUGAUCUCCAUUAAGAUCUACUUUUACAUAAGCUAAUCACUUCAUUUGCCUCCACAUUAUAUACUAUAUACUCAUCUUUAUGUUUAAUUUCUUGGACUCCUGUUCUUAUUCAAAAGUAACAACUACGACUUUAGUUCAA